UACAGAGGGUGCAAGCGUUGCUCGGAUUUACUGGGCGUAAAGCGUACGCAGACGGCCACGCAGGUCGGGUGUGAAAGCCCCGGGCUCAACCCGGGAAUUGCAUUCGAAACCAUGUGGCUCGAGUGUGGGAGAGGGUAGUGGAAUUCCUGGUGUAGAGGUGAAAUUCGUAGAUAUCAGGAGGAACAUCGGCGGCGAAGGCGGCUACCUGGUCCACAACUGACGUUCAGGUACGAAAGCGUGGGGAGCAAACAGG
This 253-nucleotide ribosomal RNA is filed under the name uncultured bacterium. Its description in RNAcentral is "partial 16S ribosomal RNA". It matches the Rfam family "Bacterial small subunit ribosomal RNA", at positions 524 to 776 of the family's 1533-position model. The record is from RNAcentral.